CCUACGGGAGGCUGCAGUGGGGGAUAUUGGACAAUGGGGGGAACCCUGAUCCAGCGACGCCGCGUGAGUGAAGAAGUAUUUCGGUAUGUAAAGCUCUGUCAGCAGGGAAGAAAGAAAUGACGGUACCUGACCAAGAAGCCUCGGCUAACUACGUGCCAGCAGGCGCGGGAAUACGUAGGGGGCAAGCGUUAGCCGGAAUUACGGGGUGUAAAGGGAGCGUAGACGGUUAAGUAAGUCUGGAGUGAAAGGCCGGGGCCCAACCCCGGGACUGCUCUGGAAACUAUUGAACUUGAGUGCAGGUGAGGUAAGCGGAAUUCCUGGUGUAGCGGUGAAAUGCGUAGAUAUUAGGAGGAACACCAGUGGCGAAGGCGGCUUACUGGACUGUAACUGACGUUGAGGCUCGAAAGCGUGGGGAGCAAACAGGAUUAGAUACCCGGGUAGUC
Molecule: ribosomal RNA, 443 nt
Filed under: uncultured bacterium
Lineage: Bacteria
Description: partial 16S ribosomal RNA
Rfam family: Bacterial small subunit ribosomal RNA
Source: RNAcentral